AGUUAAACAGUACGUGAAAUUGUUGAAAGGGAAACGAUUGAAGCCAGUCGUACCUUCGGGUAAUCAGCCUUUCGGGUGCGAUUCUGUGAGGUGUGAGGAGUUAAACGCCUUCAUGUUUUGCAUAUUCGUGCUCUUGGGUGUACUUGCCCGUGUGGUUGGUUAACAUCAAUUUUGGACGCCAUAAAAUGACUGGAGGAAUGUAGCUUCGAUCUCGUAUUGAAGUGUUAUAGCCUUUGGUAGAUGUGGUUUUCGAGAUUGAGGAUUGCAACGGAUACCCUUCGGGGCUACCUAUCUGAUCUCUGAUCGUUGCUCUGGUGGCGAAAGCUUGCUUACGGAUAUCAAAGUCGAUGGUCAAUAGGUUAGAAUAGGUUAAAUUCGUUAAGGAUGUUGACGUAAUGGCUUUAAA
This 406-nucleotide unclassified non-coding RNA is filed under the name uncultured Rhizophagus. Its description in RNAcentral is "sequence contains 28S rRNA gene". The record is from RNAcentral. Lineage: Eukaryota; Fungi; Glomeromycota; Glomeromycetes; Glomerales; Glomeraceae.